Molecule: long non-coding RNA, 671 nt
Organism: Homarus americanus (American lobster)
Lineage: Eukaryota; Metazoa; Arthropoda; Malacostraca; Decapoda; Nephropidae
Exons: 3
Source: RefSeq, a predicted model, not a curated record
CCUCGGAAGGUACACCCCUGUCAAUCCUUCCUGGCCACGGGUCUCAUGGGAUGGGAGGUCAGAGCGGUACCAUUUUGGCCAUAGAGCCCAUCAACAUAACUCUAGGAAUUCCUCUUUCUUUCAAACUUGACAACCUAGUUUUUAUUUGCAACAUUCAACAUCAUCUUGCUGCACCACCACAACUGUUCAGACACUACAAAAAAUAAAUUGAUAUAGUAGUUUUUCUGGAUUAAAUGAAGGGCCGCCACCAUACCAGCCUUCAUUACCAGCACGGCUCAGCUGCCCGACACAACUACUGCACCACCUCGCAUCAAGCACAGCCUCUCAUCCAUAAGAUGGAGGAUGUGGCGAGGUGUGGUCCUUGGCGGCAGCAGAAUGUCAACACAACAACACUUCAACUAACCAACCUCCUCAACCAGAACCACAGACGUAGGAAAUAACGACGUAUCCUGCCUCCUGCCCAGACUUUCGCUCAGCCAGGCUUCACAUUCAACACCCACAAGCUGUUUCUCGUCUGUUAAACCAUCUAAAAAGAAAAGAAAAACAUGCAGGGGAAAUAAUUGUAUGGAAACAUAUACGACAAUAAAUCCAAGUAUCUCACACUGUAGUUAAUUAGUGUUCCUCAUAUUACGAUUUAUCAGUCAAUAUUAUUACCUGUACUCCAAUAGUAU